This is a small nucleolar RNA of Cyprinodon variegatus (sheepshead minnow), 135 nucleotides long. NCBI's taxonomy places the organism in Eukaryota, Metazoa, Chordata, Actinopteri, Cyprinodontiformes, Cyprinodontidae. The record is from Ensembl.
AUGCAGCCGUUUCCAGCGAGGCUGAGCCUGCAGUGGUUCUGUCCUUUCCUAAUCGGUCUGCUAGAGAGAAGAGGGGCCGUUUGAGGCCCUGCGGCGGCUGCUGGCUGCAGGGUUAUAGGUAAACCUCCGACAGAC